AUUCCCACUAUGAACUUGACAUAUCUGUCUGCCAUUACUUCAUCUGGCCGGUAAUUCCCAAUCAAAAGGUUCAUUAACUGAUAAUUAAGUUGAUAAAUAUUGAUUCAUCAUCUGUUACUUCAUUAAGCUCACCUGCCAGUCUACUGAGAUAUAUUUUCUACUAUCUUGAUAUUCACCUGUAAAAUCUGUGAUCUCCAACUUCCAAAAGCACUUUUACUUCCUGCAAAUUAAAGGAGAAGUGUUUUUCCCACAUCAUUUCUUUUCCAGGGGAGGACAAACUUCAUUUGGCUUAACUGCAAUCCUUUGGUGUAAGUUUUCUCAGUCGUUCCAUGUCAAGGAAGAAAAAUAAUUCAGAGCAUGUAUCU
RNAcentral lists this long non-coding RNA (365 nucleotides) under Vulpes vulpes (red fox). Its description in RNAcentral is "lncRNA (ENSVVUG00000011457.1)". The record is from RNAcentral. Lineage: Eukaryota; Metazoa; Chordata; Mammalia; Carnivora; Canidae.